This 74-nucleotide transfer RNA is filed under the name Piscibacillus halophilus. RNAcentral's name for it is "Piscibacillus sp. HS224 tRNA". It matches the Rfam family "tRNA". From Rfam's summary of the family: Transfer RNA (tRNA) molecules are approximately 80 nucleotides in length. Their secondary structure includes four short double-helical elements and three loops (D, anti-codon, and T loops). Lineage: Bacteria; Bacillati; Bacillota; Bacilli; Caryophanales; Bacillaceae. The record is from Rfam by way of RNAcentral.
CGUGGGGUGGAGCAGUCUGGUAGCUCGUCGGGCUCAUAACCCGGAGGUCGCAGGUUCAAAUCCUGUCCCCGCAA